RNAcentral lists this long non-coding RNA (534 nucleotides) under Rattus norvegicus (Norway rat). Its description in RNAcentral is "long non-coding RNA NONRATT011057". Lineage: Eukaryota; Metazoa; Chordata; Mammalia; Rodentia; Muridae. The record is from RNAcentral.
UUACCCUGCAGUUUGUGAAUUUUUACAGAACAAUAGUUUAUUAUCAAUAAUCAGAGCCCAUGAAGCCCAGGAUGCUGGGUACCGAAUGUACAGGAAGAACCAAGCAACUGGCUUUCCAUCACUCAUUACAAUUUUCUCUGCCCCCAAUUACCUAGAUGUCUAUAACAAUAAAGAGUCACAGAGAUGUUGGUCAAUAUUCUCAACAUAUGCUCGGAUGAAGAAAUGUCCUUAGUCGAAGAGGAAGCCAAACUACAAGCAGCAGAGGAGCGGGAAGCCAUCAGAGGUUUUACAAUUGCACACAGGAUCCGAAGUUUUGAAGAAGCCCGAGGUCUAGACCGAAUUAAUGAGAGAAUGCCACCCCGAAAAGAGGCUUCUUAUCACCAUGAUGCAGGAAAGACACACCCACACCCGUCAAAAAGGAGCGACCAUGGAAAGAAAGCCCUGUAAUGACUCAGGGCCCUGUGCAGCUGGGACCCAACCCCAUGAACAAAUCAUAUUUAUUUAUACUGGAAUUUAAACAGGAACAACUCAAAC